Molecule: transfer RNA, 64 nt
Filed under: bovine gut metagenome
Rfam family: tRNA
About the family: Transfer RNA (tRNA) molecules are approximately 80 nucleotides in length. Their secondary structure includes four short double-helical elements and three loops (D, anti-codon, and T loops).
Source: RNAcentral
CUUAGCUCAGUGGAUCAGAGCGUUUGCCUCCGGAGCAAAAGGUCGCAGGUUCGAAUCCUGUAGA